This 335-nucleotide ribosomal RNA is filed under the name Boophis pyrrhus. Its description in RNAcentral is "partial 16S ribosomal RNA". It matches the Rfam family "Bacterial large subunit ribosomal RNA", at positions 2016 to 2516 of the family's 2925-position model. The record is from RNAcentral. Lineage: Eukaryota; Metazoa; Chordata; Amphibia; Anura; Mantellidae.
CUGUCUCCCCCCUCUAAAUCAAGUGAAACUGAUCUCCCCGUGAAGAAGCGGGGAUAAAUUUAUAAGACGAGAAGACCCCAUGGAGCUUUAAGCUUAACGGCACCUAUUAAUUUCAUACCCUCAUAUUCUCCUAGUAAUGCUUGUUCAGCUUUGGGUUGGGGUGACCAUGGAGCAAAAAAUAGCCUCCACGAAGAAAGGAACAAAACCCUUAUCAAAGAGUUACAUCUCUAUGAAUUAGAACACUAACUUUUAAUGAUCCGAUAAUCGAUCAACGAACCAAGUUACCCUGGGGAUAACAGCGCAAUCCAUCUCAAGAGCUCCUAUCGACAGGUGGG